UAUCGGGUCAACCCGCGGAUCCUUCCCCUUUUGGGACGGCGUCGUUUUAAACAAAGGUUUUAAAACCCUUUUUCCCUUUUCUUCAAAUGCAGCCACAUUUUCUUUCCCUUUCUAAAGAAAUCAGAGUAAAAAGAACCCUAAAAGCCAUUACCACCAUUCGGCUAAUCCCAAAACUUGAGCAAAUCAACCGCCACCACUGCGAUUCGAUGGAAGAUUAACAUGCGCGCACUUCGACUAGAGUCUUAACUCAAGACCUAUCGAUUUCAGCCCUUAGUAAUCUCAUCCCAAACUUCGAUUUCAGCGAGGGAGACAAGAAUUCCGAUGGCCUAUUUACGACAGUAAACACUUCUCUUCUUUUAUUUUCUUAUAUUCGAGCCACAUGCAAAAUCAAAAGAAAGAAACACACACAUAAAAAAGGAUCGAGAAUCACCUUUCCAAUAAUUUUUAAUUCGAUUUUGUUGUAUUCAAUAAGUAUAUUUCAGUGUGCGUCCCCAUAUAAUGAGAAUGUUUAUGGCUUUAUAGCCAAAAAUAAAAAAGGAAAAAUACAAAGAAUUUAUUUGUUGUUGUUUUUCUCUUUGCUGUGCUGUCCUUUUUGCAUCUGUGCGCAGGUACGAAGGUACGAAGCUCGGUGGUUGUACGGCGUUGUGCUGGAGACGAGGACGAGGGGUUACGGCGCCUAGCAGCUAGGGUUUUCGCCCUUCGGCUGAAGCUUGUUUAAGUUUUGAGCCGUUUGGGCCAGGGGUAUUUUAGGCUACUUGGGUUAAUUGGGUUAGACUUAGUUUAGAAUUUGUAUUGGACUUGUAAUGGCCUGAUGGAAUUUUAUUUAUUUUUUGGUUUCUAUUUUCUGUUUGUGUUUUCAUAUGGGCCCGGGUAGAUUUGGGCAUGUACAAACCGUACAGAAGCCUAGUUUUGUUUAAAACAAACAGUGCUCAAUUUAGAGUUAUAUAUUAAGAGUUAUUAAUUUUUGAAUGAGAAAAGGCCAGAAUGCCAAGGUAGUAGACGGUCACAUCUCAUUAGUUAAUAUUUUAGCUGGAAUGAUAAGCAAGUUGAAAUGAGUAUCAGGUUCGAAUUUCAUGGUUGUAAUUUUGUGAUUAUAUGUUUAAUGCUUUUUUUGCGCUCAGCCUUCGGGCUCUAACCUAAUUAGCGGACAUGAAUGGCACUCGAGAUAAUCCUAUGGACACCUGAGAUUAUUUGAAUAGCGUCCAUGAGUGGUACAGGACUAUCCGGAUACCCGAUUAUUUGAACAGUAUGUGCAAUCUAACAAGUUUGACAAGUUUGAUAUGUAAGUGAUUUGGUUAUUUAGAUUUAAUGACUCAUGAUUUAAUUAUUAGAUACUCAUGUCAUGUUUCUAUGUAUACAUUUGAUUUGCAUGCUUAUAUUUAUGAAUUGCUUGAAAUAUGGUUGAUUUGUUGUGUACCACUGAACCUGUAAAGCUCAGCCUUCAAAUUAUCUUCAUGUUCAGCUGAGGAACAUCAUCGACGAGAGACUUCUAGCAUUACGAAUUCAAAGUACAAUACCUUAUCUAUUAGUGGGCAUUGUAUUCUUAAAGCCUUACUUGUAUUUUAUUUUUGUAAGUCUAUAACUCAUUUAUCCUUUUUGUUAUUUUGACUAUUUUGAUAUACGAUGAUAUUGGAGCUCCACAUAUUUUGUAUAACUACUUUUAUUACUAUUUUUAGUAUAACUAUGUAUGGUAUUUUCUUUUAUAUAAAAUGUAUUUCAAUGUUUUAAAUUAUUUGAAAAUUUUGUUGGGUUGCUCUGGUAACCUGAUGUAGCGCCUUAGCAUUUGAGUACACACUGAGGAAUUUGAAGUCGUUCCAUUUUACCUCUAAGGGUUACUUAGAGGGCAUCAUCUCAUUGUUGAAGGGUGAUGCAUAUGAUUGGUGGGAGACGAUCGAGAUGGUUUUACAGCCAGAGCUGCCGAUGUGGGAUCAAUUCUUGUAUAAGUUUCAAGGGAAGUACAUCGGUUAGGCAUAUAUAGAUGACUUGAAGAUGUAAUUUUCAUGACUAGUCUGGGGCAAUCGAUCGAUGUAUGAGUACGGGAGAGAUUUUCUGCGAUUGAGUUUUUUUGCCCCUGAGUUAGUUGCUUCUGAGAGUCUUAGGUAGAGAAGAUUCUGUGAGGGGCUGUACAUUGAUAUUCACACUUAUUUGGCGGUAGACUCGCCCGAGGUAUUUUCAGAAUUGGUACGACAAGUUAAAGCUAUAGAAAGGGUUCUAGGUAUGAGAAUGAGCUCGUCAGCCGAGUCUAGUAUCUAGAGUAAGAGGGCUUCUGACACUGCAAGUCCUUCUCAAAUAGUAGUCAAGAGAAUUCGAGAUUUUAAAGGAUUUAGGAGAGCUCCAUCGACACAGUCUCAGAGAUCAGGUCAAGGGUUAGGACCAGGGGCUCGUAGGAGACCGUUGACUUCCUCGUCGCUAGCGAGUUCAUAAGGGUCAGUCAGGACCCUGACUUUUCUAGUUUGUAAUUUCUGGAGACAUCCAGGGGAGUGUUAUUGGAAAACUAGAGCUUCUUUUCAGUAUGGGGCCACAAAACAUUUUGUCAAAGAUUGCCCUAGAGCUAACGGUGCUUCGCCUACUCUGACUCAGAGAUCAGCACAUUCUUUUCAACGUGGUAGAGGGUCAACUUAUGGUAGUGAUAAUGUUGCCUCAGGCUAGCAAAUUAGAGACACGGUUAGAUCUGCAGCCGUAUCUGAUAUUUGAGUUCUUUCUAGGCAGUAUGCUAUGAAAACUCGAGAAGACUGCAACACCACUGGUGUGAUUACAUAUAUUUUCAAAUUUUUCUCUAUUCCUAUUACUGCAUUAGUGGACUCCGGGUCCAUGCAUUUAUAUAUAUGCAGUGAAAUCAUCCGAUAGAGGUAUUCCUGUUGAGGAGUUAAAUGUUGGGGUUCGAGUAUCCAGCCCAUUAAGACUUGAUGUGUUGGUGGAUAAGUGUAUCGGAGAUGUCUAGUUGAGAUUUAGGGCAAGCUAUUUUCGGCAAACUUGAUGGAGUUGCCCUUUUGAGAGUUUGAUGUAAUUUUAAGCAUGAAUUGGUUGACUGAGCAUGAUGCAACUUUAAUAUGUAGAGUGAAACAGUUUAAGCUCCGUGGGUUAGACGGAACCAGAGUCCUAGUGACUAAUGAUAUUAGUGAAUGCUCAUCUUAUGUCAUUCCUGCGACUAUAGCUCGGAGGAUGAUUAGUAGAGGCUGUAAAGCCUUCUUAGCUCGUGUGGUGGAUAUAAGGGUCCAAAGUCCGGCAUUGGAGGACCUACGGACUGUGAAGGAGUUUCCAGAUGUUUUUCCUAAGGAGUUUCCGAGAUUACCUCUAAACAGAGAGUUAGAAUUUUGGAUUGAGGUAUUCCCUAGUACGGUUCUAGUAUCCAUUGCCCCGUACCACAUGGCAUUAACUGAGUUGAAAGAAUUGAAGACUCAGUUGCUAGAGUUGCUUGAGCGCGGCUUUAUAAGCCCUAGUGUGUUGCCAUGGGGAGCACCAAUGUUAUUUGUCUAAAAAAAGAUGGGUCGAUGAGAUUGUGCAUUGAUUAUCGUCAACUCAAUAAGGUGACAGUGAAGAACAAAUUUCCACUUCUGAGGAUUGAUGACCUGUUUGACCAGUUGAGAUGUACUUGCGUGUUUCUAAGAUUGAUUUGAGAUGGGGGUACCAUCAGUUGAAAGUUAAGGAGGGGAUAUCCUGAAGACAGCUUUUAGGACUAGAUAUGGCUAUUAUGAGUUCUUGGUGAUGUUGUUUGGGGGUAAAAAAUGCUUCUAUAGCCUUCAUGGAUUUAGUGAACAAUAUUUUUUAGCCCUACUUAGAUUAAUUUGUGGUGGUUUUCAUUGAUGAUAUAUUGGUGUAUUCGCGAUCUGAGGAUGAGCAUGAUCACCAUCUUCGAGUUGUGCAUCAGACCCUUCGAGAGAGAUGACUUUUUUUUUAAUUUAGUAAGUGUGAAUUUUGGCAUUCUAAAGUGGCCUUUUUGGGUCACAUUGUCGCGGUGGAUGGUAUCCAAGUGGAUCCGCAUAAGAUUCAAGCAGUGGUUGAUUGGAAGUCACCGCAUAAUAUUUUUGAAGUUCAUAGUUUUCUAGGCCUCACCGGGUAAUGUAGACAGUUUGUUAAAGGUUUUUCCAUGAUCGCUGCUCUUUUGACCAAUUUGCUGCAUAAGGGAGUUCCAUUUGAGUGGAAUGAGAAGCGCCAACAGAUUUUUUAUCAACUUAAGGCAAUUUUGAUAGAGGCACUAGUUUUGACUCAUAUGAAGUCAGGUAAGGACUAUGUAGUGUUCAGUGAUACGUCCUUGAAUGGACUUAGUUGCAUUCUCAUACAGGAAGGUAAGAUAGUUGCUUAUGCAUCUAGGUAGCUUAAGCUGCAUGAGCGUAACUACCCUACCCAUGAUUUAGAGUUAACAGCAGUGCUUUUUUGGAUUGAAGAUUUGGAGGUAUUAUCUCUUUGGGGAGAAGUGUUACAUCUAUAUUGAUCACAAGAGUCUUAAGUAUUUGGUCACCUAGAAGGAGCAAAAUUUGAGGCAACGUAGAUGGAUUGAGCUGCUUAAGGACUAUGAUUGCGUCAUUGACUAUCAUCCAAGUAAAGCUAAUAUGGUAGCGGAUGCAUUGAAUUGUAAAUCAGUGCCAACGUUGCGAGCAAUGUUUACGAAUUUGAGAUUGAAUAGUACGGUGGUUUAUUAGCUGAGCUUCAGGUUGAACCGAUAUUGGUGUUAGAGGUAAAAGAAGAACAUAAAUUUGAUGAUAGUUUGGUUGCCAAAGAAGAUAAGGUGAGACGAGGAGAAGUAUCAGGCUUCGAAUUACAAGAUGGUGAUGUAUUAUAUUUCAGAGGGCGACUUUGUGUUCCAGCAGGUGAACUGAGGGAUAAGAUCCUGAGUGGGGUACAUAGUAGUCCAUUUACUAUGCACCCAGGUAGUAACAAGAUGUAUCAAGAGCUUCGUCCAUUUUAUUAGUGGCCAAGGAUGAAGAGAGAUGUGUCAAAGUUUGUAACUCGAUGCUUAGCUUGUCAACAGGUGAAAGCAGAGCAUCAAGUUCCUUUAAAUUUUCUUUAGCCUAUCCAAAUUCGAUAAUGGAAAUGGGAUAGAGUCACUAUGGAUUUUAUGACUAGGUUACCUAUGUCUCGGUGCAGACAUGAUGCAAUUUGGGUAAUCGUGGAUAGAUUAACGAAGACUGCACAUUUUUUGCCAAUGCACAUAGACUUCACUCUCGAGAAGUUGGCCAAAUUGUAUAUUAGUGAGAUAGUGAGUUUCACUGGGUGCCGACUUUGAUUAUUUUAGACAGAGAUCUACAUUUCAUAUCGAGAUUUUAAAGAGUCCUUCAUGAGGUGUUGGGUACUUGUUUGCACUUCAGUACAGCUUUUCAUUCGCAGACUGAUGGUCAGUUAGAGUGAGUCAUUCAAAUUCUCAAGGAUAUACUUCGUUGUUCUAUCAUUGAGUUUGAAGGAGGUUGGGAGGAACACCUUCCCUUGGUCGAGCUUGCAUACAGCAACAGCUAUCAGUCUAGCAUUCAGAUGGCUCCUUUUGAGGCAUUAUGUGCAAGACUCCAUUGUGUUGGACAGAACUUAAUGAGAGGAAGAUAGUUGGCCUGGAGUUGAUCAGGGAGACUGAGGAUAAGGUUCAAAUGAUCCAAGAUAAUCUUAGAGUAGAUUUCAAUCGUCAGAAGUCAUAUUCAAAUUUGAAGUGUAAGGAGAUAAAGUUUGCAGUGGGCGACAAGGUCUUCCUUAAGGUUUCACCUUGGAAGAAAGUUUUACGCUUUGGACACAAAGGGAAAUUGAGUCCCAGGUUCAUUGGACCUUAUGAAGUUUUAGAGAGAGUUGGCCCAGUGGCAUAUCGGUUAUCCUUACCUCCAGAAUUGGAGCGUAUUCAUAAUGUGUUUCACGUGUCCAUACUUAAGAGGUACCGUUCUGAUCCUUCCCAUAUCUUAGCGCUUAAGCAAAUUAAGGUGAGCCUAGACUUGUCAUAUGAAGAAGAGCUGAUUCAGAUUUUGGCCUGAGAUAUUAAAGAACUUAGAAACAAUGAGAUCUUUAAUGAAUGUCCUGUAGAGGAAUCACGGAGCUGGGGAGGCGACAUGAGAGCUAGAGGAGUCCAUGAAAUUACAGUAUCCGCACCUUUUUUAUUCAGGUAAAUUUCAAGGACGAAAUUUCUUUUAAAGAGAGAAGAGUUGUAAUGACCCCAAAUUCUCGAGUCAACAUUCAAGCGUUGACCUCGGUUGGCAAUUGAUAAAUUUAUUUUGGGAUUGAGUUUUGUUUGAAUUAAUUUGGGUAAAUUUCAGACAUUUUUAUAAGAAAUUAAGGAUGUUAGGAAGCUUGUGUGAAGUAGGGGGAAGAUGGAUGGCUAAUAUGGUGAUCUUACCAUUUUUGAAUAAAAUUCUUCUCCCAAUUAAUGGGAAAAGAUGGUUUGGCAGAUUGAGGUAUGAGAUAAAGUGGAUUUGUCCUCAUUUUUCUCUAUAUUAUAAUCACCCUAUUUUUUUCUUUCUAUAUUUCUUCAUUUUUUUUUCUUCUUUUCUCCAUCUAUUUUUCUUAGCAAGCCUUGUACAAGAAGAGAGAUUUGAGUGAGUUCUCACCAUUUUUCAUCCUCUAAAUCUCAAAGAAGGUAAAGGUCUUGAUCUAGCUUUUUAUUUAAAGUUCCAUGAAAAAAAAUCUAUGUUCUUUAAGGAUAAAGGUGAAUGUUAUUUGGUGUUUGGGAGGGUUUGUGUUUGAGAAAGUCUCUACCCAUCUUCUCAUAUUUUAUUUAUUUAUUUAAAGCAUGUGUUUUUGCAUCCUAUCUACUCUCUUUUUUGUUGUUGGAAAUCUUGUGUGUUACAUGGUUAUUAGUUAAAGAGGGUGGUGAAUCUUCUAAAGCUAAGGGUAAAGACUAAAUGGUAGAGAGGUAGGCAAGAAACUUUGUUGGUGUUCUUCCAUCAAGGUGGUACCCUCUAACUCUCCUAUGCUUCUUGAUAAGUCAUAAAUACGAUGCUUGUAUGAUAAUGCAUGCAUGUUAUAUGUCUUUGGAUGGAAAUCAUGUUUGGAUGAUUUAAAAUGAAGCUAAAAACUUAAUUGUGAAAUCUAUCAGAAACAAAUUAUUACUUGAAUAGUAAGUUUAUUAAUUUUCCAUAAAUUUUUUAAAAAUAAUUAAGAAGUGAUCUAUACAUCGUUGUAACCAUGAGUCAGUCUAGUUUCGUUUAGAAUAAACGGAGAUCGAUUUCGAUUUGAAUUUUAAAAGAUAUGAAUUUUUGAGUGUUGAAAGGUCAUAAAAAUUUCGCAGCAGAAUUCUUAUAAACCAGAUUUAGUAGUGACUUUCGAAAAUCAGAAAAAAUUUCACAAGAUAAAAUAGGAAGUGAGCCUUAUAUCUCUAUAACCGUACAUAAGUCUAGUUUCGUUUAAAAUAGGAGAUGAGCCUUAGAGUUAUAUAUUAAGAGUUAUUAAUUUUUGAAUGAGAAAAGGUUAGAAUGUUAAGGUAGCAGACUGUCAAUAUUAACUAGAAUGAUAAGCAAGUUGAAACGAGUAUGAGACUCAAAUGUAAUGUCAUGGUUGUAUUUUUGUGAUUAUAUGUUUGAUGUUUUGUUUACGCUCAGCCUUCGGGCUCUAACCUAACUAGCGG
RNAcentral lists this long non-coding RNA (7534 nucleotides) under Gossypium barbadense (sea-island cotton). Its description in RNAcentral is "long non-coding RNA (GBAR_LNC001769)". The record is from RNAcentral. Lineage: Eukaryota; Viridiplantae; Streptophyta; Magnoliopsida; Malvales; Malvaceae.